Molecule: ribosomal RNA, 2898 nt
Filed under: Turicibacter sanguinis
Lineage: Bacteria; Bacillati; Bacillota; Erysipelotrichia; Erysipelotrichales; Turicibacteraceae
Description: 23S ribosomal RNA
Rfam family: Bacterial large subunit ribosomal RNA
Source: RNAcentral
GUUAUAGGAUCAAGUGACUAAGUGCAUGCGGCGGAUGCCUUGGCGAUCACAGGCGAAGAAAGACGCGGCAGCCUGCGAAAAGCUGCGGGGAGCUGGCAAACGAGCUUUGAUCCGCAGAUAUCUGAAUGGGGGAACCCACACCGCAAGGUGUAUCCGUAACUGAAUACAUAGGUUACGGAGGCGAACGAGGAGAACUGAAACAUCUAAGUAUCCUCAGGAAAAGAAAUCAACCGAGAUUCCGGCAGUAGCGGCGAGCGAACCCGGAGGAGCCCAGCUUUUGAUAGUACGAACUUUAGCCGAAAGGACCUGGAAAGGCCUGCUAUAGUGGGUGAUAGCCCCGUAGGCGAAAGAGUUGGUACGGUACUAAGGAAGCGAGAAGUAGAGCGGGACACGUGGAAUCCUGUUCGAAGACGGGGGGACCAUCCUCCAAGGCUAAAUACUCGUGAUCGACCGAUAGUGAACCAGUACCGUGAGGGAAAGGCGAAAAGAACCCCGGGAGGGGAGUGAAAUAGAACCUGAAACCGCAUGCAUACAAACAGUAGGAGCCUUUACGGAGGUGACUGCGUACCUUUUGCAUAAUGGGUCAGCGACUUACAUUCUGUGGCGAGCUUAACCGAAUAGGGGAGGCGCAGCGAAAGCGAGUUCGAAAUGAGCGUUCAGUCGCAGGGUGUAGACCCGAAACCAGAUGAGCUAUCCAUGGCCAGGUUGAAGGUGUGGUAACACACACUGGAGGACCGAACCGACUAGUGUUGCAAAAUUAGCGGAUGAGCUGUGGAUAGGGGUGAAAGGCCAAACAAAUCUGGAGAUAGCUGGUUCUCCCCGAAAACUAUUGAGGUAGUGCCUCGUGUGUCGCUCCAGGGGGUAGAGCACUGUUUUGGCUAGGGGGACAUGGAGUCUUACCAAACCAAGGCAAACUCCGAAUACCUGGAAGCGUAAGCACGGGAGACAGAGCACCGGGUGCUAACGUCCGGACUCAAAAGGGAAACAACCCAGACCGCCGGCUAAGGUCCCAAAUAACAGCUAAGUGGAAAACGAAGUGGAAAGGCCGUGACAACCAGGAAGUUGGCUUAGAAGCAGCCAUCCUUCAAAGAAAGCGUAAUAGCUCACUGGUCGAGUCCUUCUGCGCGGAAGAUGUAACGGGGCUAAGCUGUUAACCGAAGCCGCGGAUGCGCUGGUAAUCCAGUGCGUGGUAGGGGAGCGUUCUGUAAGUCUGCGAAGGCGGUUCGAGAGGACUGCUGGAGAUAUCAGAAGUGCGAAUGCUGACAUGAGUAACGUUAAAGCAGGUGAAAAGCCUGCUCGCCGUAAGCCCAAGGAUUCCUGCUCUACGUUCAUCGGAGCAGGGUGAGUCGGCUCCUAAGGUCAGGCCGAAAGGCGUAGCCGAUGGGAAUCAGGUUAAUAUUCCUGAACCUGCGUCAGAUGCGAUGGGGGGACGGAGCAUGGAAGAUCAUCCGGGUGUUGGAAGUCCCGGUUGUUUAGCGUAGGAGGUCUGCAGGCAAAUCCGCAGACGCAUCUCCAAGGCAAAGACACGUGCCGCCACGGCGGCGAAGUGAUCGGAAGUGCUUCCAAGAAAAGCCUCUAAGCACCAGUCUGAUGCGGACCGUACCGCAAACCGACACUGGUGGGCGAGCUGAAUAUGCUCAGGCGCUUGAGAGAACUCGGGAGAAGGAACUCGGCAAAUUGACACCGUAACUUCGGAAGAAGGUGUGCCGUAGUACCGUGAGAGGAGAGACACCUUGAGCGGGAAACGGUCUCAGAGAAUAGGUGGCUGCGACUGUUUAUUAAAAACACAGCACUCUGCAAAGUCGAAAGACGACGUAUAGGGUGUGAUGCCUGCCCGGUGCUGGAAGAUUAAUUGAUGGGGUGAGAGCCCUUGAUCGAAGUCCCAGUAAACGGCGGCCGUAACUAUAACGGUCCUAAGGUAGCGAAAUUCCUUGUCGGGUAAGUUCCGACCUGCACGAAUGGCAUAACGAUGGCCACACUGUCUCCUCCCGAGACUCAGUGAAGUUGAAAUGUUUGUGAUGAUGCAAUCUACCCGCGGCUAGACGGAAAGACCCCAUGAACCUUUACUGCAGCUUUGCAUUGAACUGUGAACCGAUUUGUGUAGGAUAGGUGGGAGGCAGAGAAGAGGCCACGCCAGUGGUCUUGGAGCCGACCUUGAAAUACCACCCUGAUUUGUUUGCGGUUCUAACCACGGACAGUGAUCCUGUCUUGGGACCGUGCAUGGUAGGCAGUUUGACUGGGGCGGUCUCCUCCUAAAGGGUAACGGAGGAGUACGAAGGUACGCUAGGUACGGUCGGAAAUCGUGCUGAUAGUGCAAUGGCAAAAGCGUGCUUGACUGCGAGAGCAACAACUCGAGCAGAUGCGAAAGCAGGUCAUAGUGAUCCGGUGGCUCUGAAUGGAAGGGCCAUCGCUCAACGGAUAAAAGGUACUCUGGGGAUAACAGGCUGAUACCGCCCAAGAGUUCAUAUCGACGGCGGUGUUUGGCACCUCGAUGUCGGCUCAUCUCAUCCUGGGGCUGUAGUCGGUCCCAAGGGUAUGGCUGUUCGCCAUUUAAAGAGGUACGUGAGCUGGGUUUAAAACGUCGUGAGACAGUUUGGUCCCUAUCUGCCGUGGGCGUUGGAAGAUUGACGGGGGCUGCUCCUAGUACGAGAGGACCGGAGUGGACGCACCUCUGGUGUACCGGUUGUCACGCCAGUGGCAUUGCCGGGUAGCUAAGUGCGGAAGAGAUAACCGCUGAAAGCAUCUAAGCGGGAAACUUGCCUGAAGAUGAGUCUUCCCGGAGGUUGAACCUCCCUCAAGAGUCGUCCGAGACCAGGACGUCGAUAGGUCAGGUGUGUAAGCGCUGUAAGGCGUUGAGCUAACUGAUACUAAUUGCUCGUGAGGCUUGAUCCUAUAACC